This 251-nucleotide ribosomal RNA is filed under the name uncultured bacterium. RNAcentral describes it as "partial 16S ribosomal RNA". It matches the Rfam family "Bacterial small subunit ribosomal RNA", at positions 524 to 775 of the family's 1533-position model. The record is from RNAcentral.
GACGUAGGGCGCGAGCGUUGUCCGGAUUUAUUGGGCGUAAAGAGCUCGUAGGCGGCUUGUCGCGUCGAAUGUGAAAACCCGAGGCUCAACUUCGGGCUUGCAUUCGAUACGGGCAGGCUGGAGUUCGGUAGGGGAGACUGGAAUUCCUGGUGUAGCGGUGAAAUGCGCAGAUAUCAGGAGGAACACCGGUGGCGAAGGCGGAUCUCUGGGCCGAUACUGACGCUGAGGACGAAAGCGUGGGGAGCAACAGG